GACGAACGCUGGCGGCGUGCCUAAUACAUGCAAGUAGAACGCUGAAGGAGGAGCUUGCUUCUCUGGAUGAGUUGCGAACGGGUGAGUAACGCGUAGGUAACCUGCCUGGUAGCGGGGGAUAACUAUUGGAAACGAUAGCUAAUACCGCAUAAUAGUAGAUGUUGCAUGACAUUUGCUUAAAAGGUGCAAUUGCAUCACUACCAGAUGGACCUGCGUUGUAUUAGCUAGUUGGUGGGGUAACGGCUCACCAAGGCGACGAUACAUAGCCGACCUGAGAGGGUGAUCGGCCACACUGGGACUGAGACACGGCCCAGACUCCUACGGGAGGCAGCAGGAGGGAAUCUUCGGCAAUGGACGGAAGUCUGACCGAGCAACGCCGCGGGAGUGAAGAAGGGUGUCGGAUCGUAAAGCUCUGUUGUAAGAGAAGAACGAGUGUGAGAGUGGAAAGUUCACACUGUGACGGUAUCUGACCAGAAAGGGACGGCUAACUACGUG
This 495-nucleotide ribosomal RNA is filed under the name uncultured bacterium. RNAcentral describes it as "partial 16S ribosomal RNA". It matches the Rfam family "Bacterial small subunit ribosomal RNA", at positions 28 to 507 of the family's 1533-position model. The record is from RNAcentral.